Molecule: ribosomal RNA, 1029 nt
Filed under: Escherichia coli
Lineage: Bacteria; Pseudomonadati; Pseudomonadota; Gammaproteobacteria; Enterobacterales; Enterobacteriaceae
Description: partial 23S ribosomal RNA
Rfam family: Bacterial large subunit ribosomal RNA
Source: RNAcentral
GAACCUGAAACCGUGUACGUACAAGCAGUGGGAGCACGCUUAGGCGUGUGACUGCGUACCUUUUGUAUAAUGGGUCAGCGACUUAUAUUCUGUAGCAAGGUUAACCGAAUAGGGGAGCCGAAGGGAAACCGAGUCUUAACUGGGCGUUAAGUUGCAGGGUAUAGACCCGAAACCCGGUGAUCUAGCCAUGGGCAGGUUGAAGGUUGGGUAACACUAACUGGAGGACCGAACCGACUAAUGUUGAAAAAUUAGCGGAUGACUUGUGGCUGGGGGUGAAAGGCCAAUCAAACCGGGAGAUAGCUGGUUCUCCCCGAAAGCUAUUUAGGUAGCGCCUCGUGAAUUCAUCUCCGGGGGUAGAGCACUGUUUCGGCAAGGGGGUCAUCCCGACUUACCAACCCGAUGCAAACUGCGAAUACCGGAGAAUGUUAUCACGGGAGACACACGGCGGGUGCUAACGUCCGUCGUGAAGAGGGAAACAACCCAGACCGCCAGCUAAGGUCCCAAAGUCAUGGUUAAGUGGGAAACGAUGUGGGAAGGCCCAGACAGCCAGGAUGUUGGCUUAGAAGCAGCCAUCAUUUAAAGAAAGCGUAAUAGCUCACUGGUCGAGUCGGCCUGCGCGGAAGAUGUAACGGGGCUAAACCAUGCACCGAAGCUGCGGCAGCGACGCUGAUGCGUUGUUGGGUAGGGGAGCGUUCUGUAAGCCUGCGAAGGUGUGCUGUGAGGCAUGCUGGAGGUAUCAGAAGUGCGAAUGCUGACAUAAGUAACGAUAAAGCGGGUGAAAAGCCCGCUCGCCGGAAGACCAAGGGUUCCUGUCCAACGUUAAUCGGGGCAGGGUGAGUCGACCCCUAAGGCGAGGCCGAAAGGCGUAGUCGAUGGGAAACAGGUUAAUAUUCCUGUACUUGGUGUUACUGCGAAGGGGGGACGGAGAAGGCUAUGUUGGCCGGGCGACGGUUGUCCCGGUUUAAGCGUGUAGGCUGGUUUUCCAGGCAAAUCCGGAAAAUCAAGGCUGAGGCGUGAUGACGAGGCACU